RNAcentral lists this ribosomal RNA (253 nucleotides) under uncultured bacterium. Its description in RNAcentral is "partial 16S ribosomal RNA". It matches the Rfam family "Bacterial small subunit ribosomal RNA", at positions 524 to 776 of the family's 1533-position model. The record is from RNAcentral.
UACGGAGGGGGCUAGCGUUGUUCGGAAUUACUGGGCGUAAAGCGCACGUAGGCGGCUUCGCAAGUCAGAGGUGAAAGCCUGGGGCUCAACCCCAGAACUGCCUUUGAGACUGCGUCGCUCGAAUCCGGGAGAGGUGAGUGGAAUUCCGAGUGUAGAGGUGAAAUUCGUAGAUAUUCGGAAGAACACCAGUGGCGAAGGCGGCUCACUGGACCGGUAUUGACGCUGAGGUGCGAAAGCGUGGGGAGCGAACAGG